UGAUGUUGUAUGUAUAUUGUAUGUACGCGUACCGUGUAGCCGUGUAGGUACUUGGUUCGUACCAAUUUAUCGAUUUAUAAUUUUCAGUUUUUGUAACGCAGUACGUUCAAAACUGACCUAUUUCGAUGUCUUUUUCGAUAUUGUACAAAUCGUUGUAAUGUCUACGAAAAGCAUUUGACAAGUAUCAACGAUGGAAAACCAGUCGAUUGACAAUAAACCGGCCUUAGUGAGCCCGCCGAGACAAGUUCUGCCUGGUUAUGUGACACAACAACCUCCACCACACACUAACCAAAUUCACUUGCAAACAGACUUUACGUCUCCACCACCAACACACCCUCAUGGAUUCUGGCCACAACAAGCUUUUCCAAACUCAUGGCAAACACAGUUCCGUAUGCCUAGUCCUGUGCCUCAGACCAAAACUACUGUCACAAACACUACGACUUGUAAUAAUAAUUCUCCUACGUUCAGUUCGACUAGUAACAGUACUAUUAGAUCACCUUUGCCACGCUGGAGGUCAUUCAACAACACUGCACGUCAACGAACACCUUAUCAAUAUGGGAAUACACCAAGAAACAAUUAUCCAAGACAGUUCUCUCAAAAUGCUAAUGGGAAUUUCUUUGCUAAUUCUCCGCAAAACCCGCAAACACCAUCUUCAUCAACAACACAAAACUGGCCACAAUUUAAUCAAAGACCUCGAUUUAUACCAAGACAACAUAUGCGUAUGAACAGACCUCGUAGUUCUGUUCAAAAUCAAUCAAAUGGAACUAAUCAGGAAACAAAUGCUGUAACAGAGUGCAAAACACGGAAGCGCAAAUUAAAAUCACAACAAUCUGGAGAACCACAACGUGCUCAAAAACCAUGGAAUCGUGAGGAUGCUGUAAAAGCAAUUGCUGCUGAAAUGGAACUUCGAACACCUAAAAACAAUCAACAAAUUAUGAUCAGGUUUCCAGAUCAUGAAAUUACGCGGCAAAUUGUUCAGAAUUUUCAUAGUGAUAUUAAGUCUGUACAUUUCCAUACACCAUGUAAUCCAAGAUAUUGUUAUGUGCAAGUACAACCAAGUGCAAAUAUUGAAAAUGUUGCAAAUGCGCUAAAUGAAACUUUUUUCCAACAUGAAAAAUUGCGAGUAGAAAUUAAAGAAAGUCAGUUUGAAGAAAAAGCAUUCCCAGAAUGCAUUGAUCCGUAUACAUUAUAUCUUGGAAAUUUGCCAACAAAUAUCACAUCUAAUGCUGUUAAAGAUGAAUUUCCAAAAGCCACUCGAGUUGACAUUGGGUUUGCUAAAAAAAUGAAGUACACAAGAUAUGCAUUUAUCAAAUUUUCUAAUGCUGAAGACGCAAUACAAGCAUAUAAAGAAAAAUAUAAUUUGGUUAUUGAUAGCCGAUCAGUUGUUUUAAGAUUUAGGCGUGGUAAAGGAAAUGUAAAUCCACCUGGACAAGUUGAUAAAUUACCAAAUGAGAUGAAUGAAUUUGACGUACAAAGUUUACGGAAAAAAAUCAAGAGAGAACCUAUAGAAGAAAAUAUUGAAGAAUAUGAUCCACCUCCAAUUAAUGUAUCCAGAGUAGUUAAGCCUGAAAUGAUGGAAGAAGAUGAUUAUGACCAAGAUUCUGUAUAUGAAUCUCAUGUACCAUUUGGAAAUGAUAUUAAUAUUAAAUCUGAAUGUCCCGAUUAUGAUGAUGAAUAUGAUGAACAAUUUUAUGAAGAUGAAGAUCCAUCAAAUGUAACUUAUACUUUCCAAAGAAAUGAAACUGUCAGUAUGGAUGUAGUGCUUGGUGAUAAUAAUAGUGCACAGUGCAUUCAAACCAAUAACAGUGACGAUAUCACAAUACCUACUGGAGUUGAAGAUGAAGAUAGACGAUGGAAUGAAAAACCAGAUGAUGAAGAUGAAUUUGAAAUGCCAUAUUCAUUCGUAUCAAAAAAACAAAUACUAUCAGAAAAUAACAAAGACAUUACUUUACCUACAACUGAUGAAAUCCAUGAUGGCGGGAGUGAUAGGGAAGACCAAAGAUGGAACAAUUCUUCAGAUGAUGAUAAUGAUGAUGGUGGUGCUGAAUAUAAUUGGGAAGGAUUAAAUGAACAAAAAAAAUCUGAAAAACAAUCUAAAGAUUAUGAAAAACGAGAAUAUAACUUUAAAAAAUCAGAUGACAUUAAUGCCGUUAAAUGAUUCAAAUUCAAACUUGAAAUACACACGAGUCUUGUUCACUCAAUGUGGCCAAAAGGGUAUUUAGGUUUGUAUCGGCCCGGUAUUGGGGCAUGUCAAGACGCAAAACUGAUGCACGUGUACUGAAGCGACAGAAGAACGUUGAUCACAAGCUGAAAAUCAGACCUCAAAUGAAUUGAACUCACAACACGCCGUCUAUUUUCCAAACUGUACUAUUGAACUCAAUCUAUAAUAAGGAUCCCUUCAGACAUUCCUUUGCAUCGUGUAUGUUUUAAAUGUUUUAAUCCUUUAUAUUAUCAUAGUUAAUCAAUAUUAUAUCUUGUUGUUAAAACCGUGUGUGUUAAUCAGUGUAUAUAGUUUUAGUAGAAAACUAUCUUUCUGUACAAGGUAUUCCUCUAAAUAUUAUCGUACUUUUAAUUGGCUGCUGGUUUUAAAUCUGCGUAAUUGGAUAAAUAAAAAUUACUUGUACCAGUUCUAGUUUGGCCAGUUAAAAAAAAAUGCUUAAAAUUAUCAAGGUAACCC
Melanaphis sacchari is the source of this 2677-nucleotide RNA transcript. RefSeq lists it as uncharacterized. NCBI's taxonomy places the organism in Eukaryota, Metazoa, Arthropoda, Insecta, Hemiptera, Aphididae. The record is from RefSeq and is a predicted model, not a curated record. The transcript has 14 exons.